ACGAACGUUGGCGGCGUGCUUAAUACAUGCAAGUCAACUGAAGCAGUGGUAGCAAUAUCGCUGUGGAGGUGGCGCACGGGUGAGUAACACGUAGGUAAUCUGCCUUCAGGUCUGGCAUAACUCCGGGAAACCGGGGCUAAUAGCAGAUGAUGCAGCGGCUCGACAUCGAGACAGUUGUUAAAGCUAUGGCGCCUGAAGAUGAGCCUGCGUCUGAUUAGCUAGUUGGCGGGGUAACGGCCCACCAAGGCAACGAUCAGUAGCUGGUCUGAGAGGAUGAUCAGCCACACUGGAACUGAGACACGGUCCAGACUCCUACGGGAGGCAGCAGUAAGGAAUAUUGCUCAAUGGGAGAAAUCCUGAAGCAGCAACGCCGCGUGAGGGACGAAGGGCUUUUGCUUGUAAACCUCUGUAGUGAGAGAAAAAAAUCCCAAUCUUUGGGACAUGAUGGUAGCUCAAAAGUAAGCCCCGGCUAACUACGUG
This 480-nucleotide ribosomal RNA is filed under the name uncultured bacterium. RNAcentral's name for it is "partial 16S ribosomal RNA". It matches the Rfam family "Bacterial small subunit ribosomal RNA", at positions 29 to 507 of the family's 1533-position model. The record is from RNAcentral.